This 486-nucleotide long non-coding RNA is filed under the name Rattus norvegicus (Norway rat). RNAcentral's name for it is "long non-coding RNA NONRATT000443". The record is from RNAcentral. Lineage: Eukaryota; Metazoa; Chordata; Mammalia; Rodentia; Muridae.
UCCACGUGACAGACAGCAUUUAUUUCAGAGUCCAGUGUUCACAAAUGAUGGGCUGAGGAUGAAGGCAGGGAAGGGGUGGGUUGGGGACUCCAGUGUCAGACUACACAGCAGGGUAUCAGGUGGGGGGUAGUGCCCAGCAAGGGAGACAGGAGGUAAAAAUAACCCCGGCCUGCCGACCCUCAGCGCUGUGUCCCAGGCCGGGCCCUGGGCUUGGGUCCAGGAGCUAUUCUGGGGCCUGGGAGAGUUACAUUCCCUGGAGGAAGGCCCCCUCCCAGCCCCCACCUCCCUCUUUCCCUCCCCAAGGCCGCUGGCCACUGUGGGUCCCUGCCCAGCAGGCAGAGGAAGGAAGGGAGGGCCGAGGCUGGAGAAGGAAGGAGGCGGAGGCAUGCGCUGAGGCAGAGACGUGCUCAGAGCAGGUCAGCAUGACUUCAUCGCCUUCCGUCCAGCUAGUGCCUGAUUUGGGUUUUAUUUCAUUUGGUUUUAACU